RNAcentral lists this long non-coding RNA (6197 nucleotides) under Ananas comosus (pineapple). RNAcentral's name for it is "long non-coding RNA (ACOM_LNC034078)". Lineage: Eukaryota; Viridiplantae; Streptophyta; Magnoliopsida; Poales; Bromeliaceae. The record is from RNAcentral.
GGGAUAAGGAUGGAGCUCCCUGGCAGGGGACUUAGUGGAAUUCCACUAACUUGGUGAUAAUUACCAUAAUGCCCCUCGACUAAUCCGUUUAGCGACACGGAUCAACUACCUUUCGCAGGCCCUUCCGAAAGUCCGAUUGAGCUCAAAUUUGGCAGGAAUGUUCGUUUUUACUUAACAAGUCCACUGAAAUUUUAACAUUUCAGUUUCGACCCCGUUUGGUCACUGCGAACUGUCCCGAACUGUAAUCUUUAUCAGAUAACUUCCAGAUGCUAUUUCUCUCUCUACAGGUGUCAGAAAAAUCUGAAACUUCAAAACUAACCUUAUAAUAAUGUUCCUGACAUCUCUGCCAAUUUUCGUAAUUUUCUGACACUGUGCAUUUUCUGCUAAUUUUCUCAGUCCCGUUCUUUACAGAAAAUUUCAAAUCUUCUGUUUUUGCUCCGAUUUUAACACGAACACUUCCAAAACAUGCCAAGGGACUUUCACAAGCUACCAAUUCAAUUUGGAAGGCAUUCCUUUUCAUUUUGACAUCAUAUGGUUCAUUUCGACCAAAUCGACUACAUAAUUCAGCAUUCGAGUUACAAUGGCAAUUGGAGUUCUUUUGUCACUUCGUUUCCACUUGUAUCUAUUCCCACACUUCCAAAGUGUGCCAAUGACUGAUCUCAAGCUUCUAAUUCAGUUUAGAAGUCUCUAAUUUCCAUUUUAGCAUUAUUGUGCCCACUUUGAUCACAAUUAGCUUCUAAUCAAGUUUCAGUCUAUUACAAUCUCCCCUCCUUAAAAUAGUUUCGUCCUCGAAACUCGAUUUCAUACUUCAAUUCUCCUGGUCAAAUAGAUGAGGGAAGAGAUUCCAUCACUCGCAAUUUCCACUUCUCAACGAAGGGUUCAUUCUAACAGCUCCACACUUAAAUGAUCUGACGGCAUAAUCCGCCAACAUUUCCCGUGGCUACUCAUUACUCAAGUGUCUCCUAGAGACCACUUUACUUUCUCUUUAUCCUUGGAUGCUACAAGCCACCAUCAAUGUCCAUUCGUCUUGCAACGAAUUUAUACGAACCCGCCAUUCAUGGUUCAGGCCAAAACAAACUAACAGAGUUGUCGGUCACACCGACCAUCGGUUCCCACAGGUGGACCAGGGGCCACCAACCCUACGUAGGCCUACAGCCGAAACCGAUCUCGACGACGCCUAGCGUCUCUCGCUCGCAAGCGCAAACCCAAUUAUCACGUAGCAAAGUUCUCAUUUGAGACAUCGCAUACCUGCUCCAACUGGGAGCAACCGAGACCCUAAACCACGCCAAAUUCUCGGGUUGGGUCGCUACACACCCUGUGUGUCCUCGAUCUCACGAUCUAACACGUGGCAUUCCACGUACUCGGGUCUAUGCUCGGACUACCGUCCUGACCAAAACUCUCUGCCCUACCCGUAGGUACCGGGACGCUGCCUCUCGCAGCUGACUGCGCCUGCCCAAUGGGCCCAGGCUCCACAGUCCAAAAAGGGUCCAGGCACGGCUCGUCCCCAAGCACUACCCGCCAACGUCGUUUCACACGAAAUGCUCUACAGAGCUACAAGUAUAACUAUCGGCUCCUAAGCACCUAGUGCGAGCCACCAGCCCCGCGAGUGAUCCAUGGCACGCUUCACACUUAGCAACGCUCAGGUGCUACUGCCAACACACUCUCCUGGCUGAAUCAGAAUCCACAUUCUACGGACAGCUAUACUCAAGCGUCCUACACUAUCGCGUCUCUUGCCAGACAUCUCACGCUAGGCAAUUCAGCCUAUGUCUCAAUUACGCAACCACAAUUCCUCAACUUAUUUAAGGUACAACUCAACUAACUCGCCAAAACCAGGCGAUCAUCUAACCACGCCACAACAGUGACGCCCUUACCACUACACAAUCCAUCGGAAAUACCAUCUGGAUUUUCGAACUCUAGAAACGUCUUCUAACGUUUCUACUUUAAUUCUCAUUACCACCCGAAUGGUUUAGAGAAUAGGUCCACCAUGUCCAUCUUCAUCUCGAGCCCCAACAUUGGCUCACUGUGACUGCUCGCUAGCACGAUCCAACUGUCUAUUCCACAAUAGACAAUAUAUUCUCUUCAUCCCUGCAUGCUAGGGUCAAAUCCAAAUUUCUAUCACACUCUUGCAUGUACCGCUCGGAGUUCGUAUCGUUUCCAAGUAUACAAUCUUCUUACUGAAGGCAAAUUACCAUCACUUCACUUAUCCAAUACUACACGCGGCCUUGCCGUGUGAAAGUCACCACAAUCAUUCCUCUCGAAGUAAAAGGUCAACCAACAGACCUUUCCGAAUUCUAGGAUAACGACUACAACUCCCUUCCGGGUGUCACUUAACACUCGAUUAACCACUUAAGCUCAAUAUCAGUCGCUUAUCCUUCAUUCUUCACUAAUCAAUUCGCGCAUCUUCCGCACAAAUAUCACUUAACUUCGACCAUAAGAUUCAAUUUGAUACUUCCUCAGAAGUUCAUAGCUUAGGACUGCGUAUAACUUUGACACAUUUUCUGUCGAAGUUUCCUUAUUUCAUAAUCGGCCUUGUUUCCAAUAUCCAAAGAUCUGCCUCUUUUCCACCAAAUAUAGGCGGAUUAAACCGCAUAAACGCCGUCAGUCCUACUAACGAUUGCUUGUGCUCGGCCCUUGUUGCAGUCGAAUCAGAAUCAGACGGCCCAGAAACCACUGGAGGGAUAAUCACUGAAGGGGGGGGGGCACAAUCGCUGGCGGAUCAGGUAUAGGUGCAUCUUGACUCCCAGAUGCUGGUGUUGUCGCCUGUUGCGACACUAGAUCCUGUAACCUCCUUAUGUUCUCUUCCUGCCUCUGCAUAGCUCCAACCAACGCGCUCACCGGAGCACGUAGCUCCUGAACUUCUCUAGAUCCAGUCUGCUCUGGCAUCCUAGAAGGUGAUGCCAGAGUGGAUCUCGUCGCACGUCGCGACUUUCUCUUGAAAUAAACCAUUUACACUAGUAAAACAAUACCAAUCAGGCGAAAGCAAUCAAGUGUAUUUAUACUCAACUCUUAGCUUUAUGUUGUGGGCCCCCAACAUAACUCCUUUAGUUGUAUAUAAAUAACACUUGGAUCAGCCCCUAAUUAAUAUUAGAGACUUACUAACAACUAACCAAAUUAAUUUAGCUUUCGCUAUCAUUAGAUUCGCGCCACUCGCGUUCCUAGUUUCUAGGUUUCCAUUCCUAAGUCCCCUAGGUCAGCCUAGACUUUCACUAUCACUUGCUCUGAUACCACUCUAUCUGUCACGUCCCGCUAUCGCCAAUUUGGUCGAUCCGGGCCCGUACACAGACGCCGAACGAACAGCACCUCCUCUGUUCGCCCAAGGCUCAACAACAACGAAUACAUGUAUAAAGAAAUAAACAAUUCCCAGGAUCACAUUUCAAUAUACAUGGCUUGCACGAAGGCAAGCAACAAUCACAAGUGAUAGUAAGUCUAACUAAACAUGAAAUCCACUGUAAUUUAAAACUUUACAUAACUGAAACAUUUAGUUAUUACAUGCUUUAUAUACAAUCAUUUACAUGUCUCUGUACAUCGAAAUAGAUAAUACAUGAACCCAAAAUGGUAUACCACUAGUACUCGGGUGUCCACUAGCUAGGCUGCUGGCUCUUGCCUCGAUCCUCGGCCUCAAAACCCGCACUGGAACCUGUAUGGUUAGUGGUGUGAGAACUACAAGAAAGUUCCCAGUGGGUUCGGCUGCCGACUUCGCCGACUCACCCACUAGGUCUAUUCAGGCAUAUGUAGGCAAGAAAAGUAAGCAAAUAGUAACCAACUAUAACAUGUAACUACUACAAUGCCUGUACAAAGCUGAAAGAAGUAACAGAUAUGAAAACUGUAAAUAUGCAUGCAUGCUUUUCAUUAACUUUACCUAAUCUUUUGAUUAACCCUCUGGUUAACAGCUGGACAAGUACGUUAGUCCAUAAAUUUACCCAAUUCAGUGGUUAACCCUUUGGUUAACAAUAACUCACCAACGAAAUCCCUCACGGGCCCUAAGCUGCCUCCCGAUGGGACCGUCUGUCGGACAAGUACGUUAGUCCUGGGGCUAGUACGUUAGCCCAACAAGUGACUACUCCGGAGCUCACUGCCUGGGGGGAGCGACCACCACCAAGCUAAGAAAACAGACUAUGUGAGUAAGAUCUGAUCCCCUUUUAGAGGAUUCAACUGACAACAAUGUCACAAUUUAACUCUAACUAGUUCUUUAUACUAGUUUCAUAAUUGCAUUUCUCGAUGCUAACCAAAUCUCUAAUCAUGAUGUCACCAAGUUUACUAUUGUCUUAGUCCUUUACAGUUUCAUAAUUUCACUGUUUAUCUCACAAUGCUAUCCAAUUCUCUAGUUAGAAUGUCACCAAGUUUACUAUUGUCAAAGUCCAUGCAUUCAUAGGGUUCUAUGUCCACAAUCUAAGGUUCACAAAUUCUCAUUGUUGAUAGGAAUUCACAUUUUCACUCGCUCAAUGCCAAACACCCUAUAAUGCGUGACUACAAAUAUAAAUAUGCUCAACGAAGAAUUAUAGACAUAAAAGGUGAUUCAAAGAGUUCGGAUAGCACCACCCACCUGUAGUGGUGUCAAUCAACUAAAAUCCACGUCUCGGAAAGCGUCGAGACUAUCUCUCGCGACUCCAUGCAAUUAGGACUAGAACGGCCGCUACCGUAAUUAGCGCGUCGUCGACCUGUCGGAAAGUCAAAUUAGACUCUUGGGCACGUUUACUUUUCACUUAUAAAGGAUUAGAAAAGAUUAAACUAGAGUCAAUACUCAUAUUUUACAAAUUAGCAUUUCAAUGCUAUAUAAAACGGCAACUAUAGCCGAAAAACUUCUUUUUGGCGAUAUCUUCGCGUAGGAGCGACGGAUUGCCGAACCGACUUCGCCAGCGCGUUUCUUUUACCCCCAAUUAGGUUUGUACGCGGUCAAUUUCAUGUCAGGGCUUCUAUCCUGCAAAAGUGCAUUAUUGGGGUCAAUUUUCAAUACAAACCCAUUUCAAUGCAAUUUCACAAUUACAUCGAGUUCUUUCAACUCGUUCUUUCUCUUUUUCUUUCUUUCAUUUUUCCUCUCUUCUAUUUCUUUUUCUUUCUUUCUUCCUUACUUGCUUUCUUUCUUUUCUUUCUUUCUUUCUUUCUUUCUUUUCUUCCUUUCUUUCUUUUCCCUGCUGCAGUUUCUUUCUUUUCUUUCUUCCCUGCAGCUGAAGCUACUGCUGCUGCUGAAGCUCCUGCUGCUGCUGCUCACUGCCUGCUGCUGAAGCUGCUGCUGCUACUCCCUGCGCAAGCUGCUGAAGCAGCUGCUGCUGACUGCUGCUGAAGCAGCAGCUGCUGCUGAAGCUGAGGCUGCUGCUGCUGCUCCUGCUGAUGCGCAGGGCUGCUGCGCAAGCUGCUGCUGACAGCAGCUACCACUGCUGACUGCCAAGCUGCUACUGAGUGCUUGCUGCUGCUGCUGAUUGCUUGCUCUGCUGCUGCUGCUGCCUGCUUGCCCUGCUGCUGCUGACUGCUCAGCAGCAGGCUGAGCUGCUGUUGCUACUCAGCUCAGCAGGGCUGAGCUGCUGAUGCUGCUGCUGCUGUUAUUGCAGCUGCUGCUGAUGCUAACUGCUGAAGCUACUGCUGCUACAACCAGUAGCAGCAGGGAGAGAUGAGAGGGAGAGAGAUGCAGGGAGAGGUUAAACUUACCUCUUUUCAUCUUCUUUCUUUUCUCUUCUUCUUCUUCUUCCUCUCUUUUCUUUUCUUCUCUUCUUUCCUCCUUCUCUCUCUCUACGUAGACAGAAUAGAGAGGUGGCAGAGGGGAUAAGGAUGGAGGGGAGCCUGGCUGGUUAGUGGAAUUCCACUAAACCUGUCCAAGUUACCAAAAUGCCCCUCGACUUAUCCGUUUCGCGACACGGAUCAAAUACCUUUCGCAGGCCCUUCCGAAAGUCCGAUUGAGCUCAAAUUUGACAGGAAUGUUCGUUUUUACUUAACAAGUCCACUGAAAUUUUAACAUUUCAGUUUCGACCCCGUUUGGUCACUGCGAACUGUCCCGAACUGUAAUCUUUAUCAGAUAACUUUCAGAUGCUAUUUCUCUCUCUACAGGUGUCAGAAAAAUCUGAAACUUCAAAUCUAGCCUCAUAAAAAUGUUCCUGACAUCUCUCCCAAUUUUCAUAAUUUUCUGACACUGUGCAUUUUCUACUAAUUUUCUCAGUCCCGUUCUUUACAGAAAAUUCUAAAGUUUUCGUUUUUGCUCCGAUUUC